Magnolia sinica is the source of this 615-nucleotide long non-coding RNA. RefSeq lists it as uncharacterized. The transcript is spliced from 2 exons. The record is from RefSeq and is a predicted model, not a curated record. NCBI's taxonomy places the organism in Eukaryota, Viridiplantae, Streptophyta, Magnoliopsida, Magnoliales, Magnoliaceae.
CAUCCAACUCUGCACAGCCAUUAGACAAUUGAAAAUUCAUGGGAUGAUGAAGGCUGCCCAAAGUCCUUGUUUGAGCUCUGUACCUUUGUUAUUGUGGCCACACUUGCAAUGUUGAGGAAGUCAGGGAUUUGCUCCCAACUUACAUUUGGAAAGAAGAAAUACAUAUGCAUGUGUGUAUGUAGAUGAAAAAUCCUGUCAUCCUCCUAUGUUUAGAAUGUGCAUGCAUGCAUGCAUGUGUGUGUGUGUGUGUCUUUGCAUUUUCUUCUGCAUAUGGGUGGGUGUGCAUGCCUGCUUCUAACUUUAAUUGUCUUUAAUGAAUGACAGAACUGGGUGAGCAGCAAGAGGACCUCUGAACCUCUAUCGGGAGGGCAAUAACUGACUCUAAUUCAGGAUUUUAAUCAAUUGUGCCUAAAUUUAGGCUUACAAGCACUUCAGCCUUUUGACGCCACUCGUGCUAGGAGUAUGCCAUAUAGAGGAUUUAUUUAUUUAUUUAUAAUUCAAGACCAUUUUCAAUUUAUUGUAAUAAAUAUUAUAUAUUUUUUUAUUGUGUAGUAAUAUAAAAUUUGUUUAAUAUUCAGUUUUAAUUAUAUUACAACAUUUUCUGUUUCAAAUAUU